This 502-nucleotide ribosomal RNA is filed under the name uncultured bacterium. Its description in RNAcentral is "partial 16S ribosomal RNA". It matches the Rfam family "Bacterial small subunit ribosomal RNA", at positions 30 to 523 of the family's 1533-position model. The record is from RNAcentral.
AUUGAACGCUGGCGGCAUGCCUUACACAUGCAAGUCGAACGGCAGCAUAGGAGCUUGCUCCUGAUGGCGAGUGGCGAACGGGUGAGUAAUAUAUCGGAACGUGCCCUAGAGUGGGGGAUAACUAGUCGAAAGACUAGCUAAUACCGCAUACGAUCUACGGAUGAAAGUGGGGGAUCGCAAGACCUCAUGCUCCUGGAGCGGCCGAUAUCUGAUUAGCUAGUUGGUGGGGUAAAAGCCUACCAAGGCGACGAUCAGUAGCUGUUCUGAGAGGACGACGAGCCACGGUGGGAAUGAGCAACGGCCCAGACGCCUACGGGAGGCAGCAGUGGGGAAUUUUGGACAAUGUGGGCAACCCUGAUCCAGCAAUGCCGCGUGAGAGAAGAAGGCCUUCGGGUUGUAAAGCUCUUUUGUCAGGGAAGAAACGGUAGUAGCUAAUAUCUAUUACUAAUGACGGUACCUGAAGAAUAAGCACCGGCUAACUACGUGCCAGCAGCCGCCGUAA